ACGAUGAACCAGGCCGCCGCGGGGGGCCGCGAAAAAGUCCGUUUAUCCGGGCACGCGGUCUUCCCGAGGAAAGUCCGGGCUCCGCAGGGCAUGACGCCGGGUAACUCCCGGGCGGAGGGUAUGAAUCUUCCGGCUUAAAACCGGCGGAUAUUCAUUUGUCUUCCGACAGACAGCGCAACAGAAAGGAUACCGCCCUGGAAGUUCAAAGGGUUUCGGCCUUUUGGCAUCCGGGGUAAGGGUGAAACGGCGGGGUAAGAGCCCGCCUCGGCGGCGGCAACGCCGCCGGAAAGAUUCCGGCUAAGCCGGAAAAAGGCAAGCCUCGUCAGGAGCAAAAUCAAGCGGCGCGAAAGGGUGUUCCCUUGCCGGCGGCCCGCCGGUUAAGCGCGGGUAGAUUGCGGGGUUACCCCAAAGGCCGUCCGCAAGGUUCGGCCCAAGACAGAUGGCGGCAGGGCCGCUUUCGCGGCCAUACAGAACCCGGCUUAUGGUUCAUCGUUUUU
This 497-nucleotide RNase P RNA is filed under the name Treponema sp. RNAcentral's name for it is "RNase P RNA component class A". It matches the Rfam family "Bacterial RNase P class A". From Rfam's summary of the family: Ribonuclease P (RNase P) is a ubiquitous endoribonuclease, found in archaea, bacteria and eukarya as well as chloroplasts and mitochondria. Its best characterised activity is the generation of mature 5'-ends of tRNAs by cleaving the 5'-leader elements of precursor-tRNAs. Lineage: Bacteria; Pseudomonadati; Spirochaetota; Spirochaetia; Treponematales; Treponemataceae. The record is from RNAcentral.